RNAcentral lists this long non-coding RNA (686 nucleotides) under Rattus norvegicus (Norway rat). Its description in RNAcentral is "long non-coding RNA NONRATT004594". The record is from RNAcentral. Lineage: Eukaryota; Metazoa; Chordata; Mammalia; Rodentia; Muridae.
CCGCCCACCGCCACCGUUAGCCAAUCCCUGAACGGGCUGGUCUUCCAACCCUGAGGCGGUGACCCUCUGACCUCUAGUGGCAAAAACGAGGAGCUGCACCUCCAUGGCCCGCCUACCCGCCGACCUCCGGCCAAGCAUGUCCAGCCCUUCGUCCUUAUCCAGCCAAGUGAACCUCCCAUUGCAUGGACUCUGGCUGUCGUCGACACGGACUCGUGCACUGCUUACAGUUUUGCUGCCACGUGACGGCUGCAAAAUACAUCCUCAAACUGCAGCGCCACGACACAAUUUUUGUAAUCCUGUCUGACCUUCUCAAAGGUGUCCUUUUUAAGUCUUAUUUGUUAAUAUUUAUAAGGAUAUAUAAUUCAAAGUAAAUGGGAAUGUCGUAUUGAAGUCGCACUAGCUUGGGAGACUCCUUCGAAGAUAUGGAGGGAACAAGUGAAAGGCAAUUGGGGCUUACAUGUGGCUUUUAUUUUUGUUUUUUGAAAUGCACUUGUAAUCCAAUUUGUGGUGAUCCUACUGCCUCUCAUUUACUCCUCACCAAGAGCUAUUUGAAACAGGCUCCCAGGUUACAUAUAGAGAAACAGACUCCGAGGUUUGACUAAGUGAGGCUGACCAGAUACACUUGCCACACAAGCCUCAAGAUCUGAGUGAUCCCUGGAAGCCAAAUAAAAAAAGGCAAGACUUUU